RNAcentral lists this ribosomal RNA (427 nucleotides) under uncultured Alphaproteobacteria bacterium. RNAcentral's name for it is "bacterial SSU rRNA". It matches the Rfam family "Bacterial small subunit ribosomal RNA", at positions 40 to 501 of the family's 1533-position model. Lineage: Bacteria; Pseudomonadati; Pseudomonadota; Alphaproteobacteria. The record is from RNAcentral.
CUGCAUGCUUUAUACAUGCAAGUCGAACGGAGGCCCUAGCUUGCUAGGUGUCCUUAGUGGCGCACGGGUGAGUAACACGUGGGAACAUACCUCAUAGUACGGAAUAACUGCGGGAAACUGUAGCUAAUACCGUAUAUUCCAGAAAUGGGAAAGAUUUAUCGCUAUGAGAUUGGCCCGCGCAAGAUUAGUUUGUUGGUAAGGUAAUGGCUUACCAAGGCUACGAUCUUUAGCUGGUUUGAGAGGAUGAUCAGCCACACUGGGACUGAGACACGGCCCAGACUCCUACGGGAGGCAGCAGUAGGGAAUAUUGGACAAUGGGGGCAACCCUGAUCCAGCAAUGCAGCGUGAGUGACGAAGGCCUUAGGGUUGUAAAACUCUUUCAUCGGUGAGGAUAAUGACAGUAGCCGAAGAAGAAGGACCGGCUAAU